AAAUCAUGUUGAGCGCAACUUCUUAGCAAGCCCGUGUACCUCUCCCAAGCUUCAUAUAAGGACUCUCCUACCUCUUGUUGAAAGUUAUCAAUCUUCUUUUUGAGCUU
Molecule: small nucleolar RNA, 107 nt
Organism: Lactuca sativa (garden lettuce)
Lineage: Eukaryota; Viridiplantae; Streptophyta; Magnoliopsida; Asterales; Asteraceae
Source: RefSeq, a predicted model, not a curated record